This 253-nucleotide ribosomal RNA is filed under the name uncultured bacterium. RNAcentral's name for it is "partial 16S ribosomal RNA". It matches the Rfam family "Bacterial small subunit ribosomal RNA", at positions 524 to 776 of the family's 1533-position model. The record is from RNAcentral.
UACGUAGGGGGCAAGCGUUGUCCGGAUUUAUUGGGCGUAAAGAGCGUGUAGGCGGCUUCACAAGUCCGCUGUGAAAACUCGAGGCUCAACCUCGAGACGCCGGUGGAAACCAUCAGACUAGAGUCCGGAAGAGGAGAGUGGAAUUCCUGGUGUAGCGGUGAAAUGCGCAGAUAUCAGGAAGAACACCCGUGGCUAAGGCGGCUCUCUAGUACGGUACUGACGCUGAGACGCGAAAGCGUGGGGAGCGAACAGG